CCCUGGAACUUGCUGGUUUGCAGGUCGCUCCUGAUUAGAAGGCCACCAGCUGUUCUGCUUCCAGAUUCAAUUCCGAGAACACCGAAAAAAAAAAAUCAUCUAGUUUCUCUAGUUUCUUCUCUUUUCUUCCCCGGGGGCAUUUUCUUCUUUGAUUCCUUUUCCUCCCUGCUCUUUCUCCUUCUCUUGUUUUUACAGUCUCCCGGUAAUGACUAAUUGGCUGUGUUUCCCAACUUUUUUAUGUUUCUCUUGCUCUUGUUACUAGCGGUACUAACCCCGUGAUAUCCACAGGGACCUAUAGACAGCCAACAUUCCCAAGUGACAUACAGCAUUCUCUUUUCUUUCAAAGCGCAAAACAUUUACAAGGAAAUGUACAAAUGUAUUAGGCACAUUUCCCGGGUCGGUCAUUAGAGCGCCUCUGCGCCGGGGUGGGCCCCUUCACCCUCCCCCUCCUCCGACCCCAACGGUCCCCUCUGGAGCGCGCGUUUCCGCGUGCCAGCGGGACGGCCCGCGAGACCGCAAUUGCUCUGGCCGGGAUUGACGAGCCUCGGAUGCCCAUUUACUGCGCGCGGCAGCCACUCUGGAGCCGCGGCACAUCUGGAUGGAGUCAGCCGCUGAGCGCCAGGGGCCAGCGCAGUGCGGCGGCGAGCUAGGGAGGCCGGCGCCCAGGCCGCCUCCGCGCUGCCCCCGUGCGCCCGGGCUGGAUUUCCUGAUGUAAACAGAGCGGCCCUGCAGGAACACAGCCGCUCUGCUCCCCGUGUCACUGAGCGUGCUUUAUCUGCUCAGGGUCAACAUUGCGACUUAAGAAAACAGAAGCGUUGCUUUGAAUUUAAACAGCUCCAAAGCCACAACCCAUCUCUUCUGGGCUGGGGAGGGAAAGCCUGGCAACCCGGCUCCGGCCUUUGUGUUUACUUGUUCCAGUUUCUGUAGAAAAUCAAAGGCCUUGAUUCUAAGUUCUGUCAUCCAAAAAGGGUAUUGUGCAGACCAGUGCUCUCAAGAACACCUCAUUCACCAAGCCCAUCGUGUCAGUGGAAGUGAUUCCCAGCAGCUGCUGAAUGAGCACUGAGGCACCACAAGGAGCUCAGCCAAGUCAGACAGAUGUGGGGGCACCCCCAAGUCAUGGUGAGACACGUGGCACAGAGGACCCCAAAAGUGAAGACAUCAAAUGGAUACUUUCUGAGUCCAGCUUUGUUCGAAGAUUGUUUUCUUGUGAUCAUCAAUUAUACAGACACAUGUUAAAACCACUCUAAAAGAAAGCAAAUGUUGCUGGCCUCGAACUCACAGAGAUCCGCCUGCCUCUGCCUCCCAAGUGCUGGAUUAAAGGCAUGUGCCUCUAACGCCCGGCUUGCAAGUGUCUGACUUUUAUGUGAACAUAUAUAGGAGACACAUUGCUGCUUCUCCUCCUCUUUCUCCUUCUGCUCUUCAUCUUCAUCCUCCUUCUCUUGGUUCUCUAGAUGGAGCCCAGGGCUUCCCAUCCCCAGGACAGAUUUUUCCAUAGGAAUGAGUGAUGUGAUUGAAAUUCUUCAGAACAUGACAAGUGUAUGUUCAUCCCUCCCUUGUUGUUUACAAAGAAGUGCAGAAGACCGGGGUGAAAAGGAAGAGAGUCAAAAUUCGGUUGUUUUGGGAGAGUGUGAUAUAGGUAAUGUGCCAUGUGUCACUGAAGCAAAUUUUCUUCUGCCUAAUUCGUAAGUUCAUUUCCAUCCCUCAUUUUUGCCCAUUAAACUGGGGAAGCGAAUAUGUGACAGAAGACACCUCUCAACAAAUACAUUGUUUCAAAUUCAUUUGGAAAGCUGUCCCGUGCUACAGUCUCGCCAGCAAGAACGACGCGGCACACUCAGGAUCCUUCUGCAGUAAAGCUUUAAUGCAUCUUGAAAGGGAGAGCAUAAGCUUACAGAGCAGAGACCCCAAAUACCCAAAAACCCAUCUCUUAUAUAGGCUGGCAGCCGCCGCCUAGGACAUGUCACCCCCUGACUGGCUGCAGCUCAUCGGACCACAUGACGCCACGGGAGAGGCAGAGACCAAGGGAUGGAAAGUUACCCAGCGCCUGCGCACUAACUUGUUUACCAUUCGGUGUCUGCCGGAUGCCGGCGCCAUCUUGUAAUGGAGAAUGCAGGGACAGCUCCUUACAUCUCCCCCUUUUUUAUUAAUUAAUGAUAAGGCUUCAUAUUUUUACAAGCAAGUAGGUCACCCAUACAUUGAGGGAUAGAGGCAGAGGUUGUACCUCCCAAAUCAUACAAUAAGACUGUGUACGAGAGUCGCCACUAGGCUGUUAGCUUGACCCGAAGCGCUCUCGACCUGUCCUCCACCGUUUUUCUGGGAAAGGGAAACUGGGGCAGGCAACCCUUAUGCAGGACAACAUGCCUCCCAGAGAAGCCUGCAUAUUAGGCAAUUCUCUGUGCGAUGCUUUGCUCGAUAUCCCUCAUGGGCUGCUCAAGCCAGACACUCUACCCUGUGCAAUGAGCCUAGGCUCCGGGUGUGCAAGAGCUGUCUGGCCGGCGGCCUAUUGCUUAAGCAUUGUUCAGUGGAAGCCCCUUGUUCCAAGGCUACAAGCGCUUGGGCGAUAACCACCUUGUCCCUCUUAGUUUGAGCCCUGAGCCUACAGACCAGCCAGAGAAGCAACACCAAUCCGCAGCAAACGGCUGCACUAAACAAUCCCACCCCCACCCAUUCCUUAAAAUAGGAGACAGCUGAUGCAAUCCAUGAUGACAGUCCCUCUGUCAAGGACAGGUCAAGGCGCAUGGAGUUAAUCUGGAUAAUAGCGGCUCUCAACUCCCGAACCGUUUGCUCAAAUUCGGAGGUCCAGUUCUGUAACAUGAACUGAGAAAGGCUUUUAGACAGAUUAGCUGCUUUGGUAAAAUUCUCAUAUUGGAUGGAGGUGACACAUAGGCCGGGGAGCUUCUGCUCACAGCCUAGUUGGGCCAUCUGCCAUAAUAUGUCCAAUUGUUCCUGCACUAAGUCAAUGUGCUGGUUUACCAGCAUCAGGCCUCCCUGUAUCUGAAUGUUUGUAGAGGCCUGUCUGUCCAAAGCCUCGGAAACAGUGGCCGACAAACCAUUAAUGGUCUGUGCAGUUUGUACAGAGGUUGACGGCGCAAGGGCAGAGGCUGUCAGCAGCUAACCCUGCAUUAGUAAGGGGUCCCCCAAGUUCUCUACAGACCCUAAGCCAAUCUUGUAAUCCUUUGUUUUUUCUCGGGGCUAUAGCUGUGCAACAUUCUUGGGUGGCCUGUUCAAAGAUAAGUUGCUCAACAAGAGGUGCGGCCUGCUCAGGAUCGCCAAAGAUCCGUCCCGCUGCCUCUGUCAUCCUUGCUACAAAAUCAGAGAAAGGCUCCUGGGUUCCUUGAAUGAUUUUAGUAAGCUGAUUGUCAACCCCUCCUUUCUCGGAGAGCGCCUUCCAGGCCCUAAUGGCCGAGUUGGCGAUUUGUGGAUAAGCGCCCCAAUGAUAAUUUGUUUGAUCAGCUGCAAAACGACCCUGGCCCGUUAACAGGUCGAAUGUCCAUAGUUGUUGUUCAGGAGUUAAGGCCGUCGCGUUAGCUCUGGCCUGCUCUUGGGUGGCCUCAUGCCAGAGCGCUUUCCAUUCCAUGUAUUGGCCCAUACUGACAAGUGCAGCUUUUGCGACCAUCUGCCAGUCAGAUGGCGUCAAAGCAUUUAGGGCAAGUCUAUCCAUUUGUGCAAGAGUAAAAUUGGCUGUGACUCCAUAUUUCCUGACUGAUUCUGCCAAUUCUUUUAUCUGAUUAUAUUCCACGGGCGCAUGCAUCCGCUCUCCCUCAAUGCCCUCAAAGACGGGAAAAGCCAGGCGCAGCUUUCUUUUUACCUUUUCCGGAAGAAAAGAAUAAGACUUCGGGCGCGUCUCAUAGGGAGGGGGCGCCGAAGGAACAACCUGUGAGAGGGCUGUUUGAAACUGCCGUCUUCGAGGUUUUUUGCUAUUUUGUAUAUGGUCAUCCGGAUGGUAUCUUUCUUCCUCAUAUUUAGCAGCCUCCUCAUCUAGCUCAGCUUCUUCCUCAGUAUUUAAGACCUCAUCUCCUGAGCUUUCAGAGUCAUCAGAGCUAUCAAGAUUUAAGGCUUCAAGCUCAUGUACAGGGUAUAAGCCAGCUCCUCCCUUUGAUUUAAUAACAGGGGGAGGAUCCCUAGGAUCUGACAAAUACACCCCCUUGUCAUUAGACUCACCGGGGGUGGGGGGGGGGGACUUUUUCCUUCUUGUAGACGGUUUUUUUCUUGCGCGCGCGCCCAACCUCUCACUACGCUCGGUUUCUGACAUGCUAUCCUGGACCUCUUCAAGGGUGCUACAACAGCGAAAAAGAUCAAGAUGGCUUCGAGGACAAGCACAAAAGCCUCGACACUACCUUCCCAAGGUGGUGACAAUCCCAAGCCAAAGUCCAGAAAAGACAUACCUCUCCGAAUCGUACCUGCCUGCAGUUCUGAAUCCUCCUUGUAGCCAAGGGGUCUCCGAUGGUGCUGACGAUGAUGAGGUCUCGAUUCCCGGGUUUCGGCACCAGUUGUUCCGCGCUACCGUCUCGCCAGCAAGAACGACGCAGCACACUCAGGAUCCUUCUGCAGUAAAGCUUUAAUGCAUCUUGAGAGGGAGAGCAUAAGCUUACAGAGCAGAGACCCCAAACACCCAAAAACCCAUCCCUUAUAUAGGCUGGCAGCCGCCGCCUAGGACAUGUCACCCCCUGACUGGCUGCAGCUCAUCGGACCACAUGACGCCACGGGAGAGGCAGAGACCAAGGGAUGGAAAGUUACCCAGCGCCUGCGCACUAACUUGUUUACCAUUCGGUGUCUGCCGGAUGCUGGCGCCAUCUUGUAAUGGAGAAUGCAGGGAUGGCUCCUUACAGAAAGCAAGCUUGAGCUACAGAGGGAAUGACUUUUCCUUAUUAGUGAUGCCAUGCUACUACUCUCCCGAUAAUAUAUUGGGAUAUACAUGAUUUUUUUGAAGUCGGUCAACUAUUGACAUAUUAUUGCUUCCUGCAAGUAAGAUCAGAUAGUACAAACCAGAAAGUAACAGUUUAAUGGAAGUUGUGGGCAAUUUAAUAAGAUACAAUUUCACACCUAGCACAAAAAAAUGUAGAAUUAUAUUAUAUUAUAUUUCUACAUAUUCUUACCACAAUCUAUAAAAUCUCCCCAUAACCACCAUGCUGAAGGAUGCUCAGCAGGCAACCUGGCAAAAUCAGAGAAUUUAGCAGUUUAUUUUGAAGUGUUUAUCUAAUUAUUUUUUAACAAUAAAAACUCAGGAGUCAGAUAUCAGGGUAAGAACCCGAAUCAUAAGUGGCAGAGAAGCAACAGGUGACCUCCACUCUCUUGUUCCUUAAUCCCAGAAGGGCAAGAUCCUCUCUAAGCCUUGCCCUACUACUUCCUGUGUCUCUCUUCCUGUCCUUAGUCCUCCAAAACCUCUAUGGUUAAUUUUGGUCAGCUAGUAGCUAGCUCUGCCCUCUGAUUCAAAGCAGAUUUUAUUGUCAGUCUUUGGAGCAUCAGGAUUCUAUCAAAAUAUCACACAACAUUAUUUCUUUGUACAAGCUGCUUCAGCAAACAGUACAAGAUUUUGAGGUCAAACUUGGAGGUAAAAUCAACCAAUAAGUCUCAAGAGUCCAGUGUUCGGUGCAUUUCUGUUAAGUGAGACAUGGAGGAAAAGGUUAACAACAUGGUUGCAUCUUAAAUUGAACAAGAAAAGUUAAGCUUGUUUUGAAGAGUGCGAAUAAGCAAUGUUCCAGCAGAUGAAAUAAGCAGGUUGAUGGGUCAGGGAAGAACUUUAAACCCUGCCUGCCUUAUCCACCUGAUGCUUUAUGUCAAAUGUAGGGGAAAUACCUCAUCAGGCCCCACAGGCAUCUGGAGGAAGCACCUUGACUGCUGUAGGCUCUGAGCAUUCUGUCCUACAUUGAUGUAGGACAGAAUCUGUUAAGUCAGGAUUGUCACAGCAGCCAUGCCAGCAAGUGCUUCCCCUUUUUCUCAUGCACCACGGCUAUAACCGAGUCAUCAAGUGUAUUAGUCAGCCCUGAUAGACUGCAGGCCAAGCCUGUGACAGCUUGGGCCCCACUGAGGGGAGAAGGUAAAUGGAGGAAAGUGUGUGGCUUUGGUGCAAAAGAAUACACGGGUAAGCCCUGAGUUUUCCUCAUCAAGCAGCGCAUGUGGGUAGCUGGUAACUUACAAAGGUUUUUAAACAUGUGCACCUCUGAACUUCAGGCCCUUCUGCCCCAGGAUAGGAAUUUAGUAUGUGUUUAGUAAGUCUUAAUAAGAACUAAAUGAAGUGGCAGUGUUAAAGCUUUUGGGACACAUGCAUCAUAAGCUGUGUAAUGGCAUUAUAAAGUUCCUGAGGUUGGCCCAUGAUCCACCGCUAGCCAGCCUUGGAGAUUUGGCAACAAGGCCAUAGCUUGUCAAGUUUCCUCUGACCUGGUAGAUAAAUAGACAGGGACACCCUCCUUUCUGAGUCUCCAUCCCUCUUGGACAAGAACUGUGAAGGUCACAUGUUCUCAGGGGGCUCUUCACCAGGUCUGGAGGCAGAUGCCUCAGCAUUUUAGAUAUGUUUUUGUGACUUUUUAUGGCCCUAUACUUGAUCAUUUAUUGUAAAACAAUCUUUCUUGAAUUUUGCAACAUGAGGCAAAGCAGUUAGCUUCCCCAAAUCUCUUAUUCUUCAUUCUAUGUCAGCAGCUCUCAGCCUGAGGGUUGAAACCCUUUUUAGAGGUGGAAUGACGCUUUUACAGGGGUCACAUAUCAGAUAUUUACAUUAUGAUUUUAAAAAGUAGCAAAAUGACAGUUAUGAAGUAGUGACAAAAGUAUUUUUAAUGGUUGGGGUUACUACCCCAUGAGGAAUGGUAUUAAAGGGUCACAACAUUAGAGAGGUUGAAAACCACUGUCCGAAGUAACGAUUGAGGCACACAUCUUAAGACUUUUGAGAGAUCGACUCUGAACACAGAUAUACCAAGAACUUCCUGAGUUGUACCCUGGGCAGUCCCGACCCCUGAAUCUUUGUCCGUAUAUCUCAGAGUGCAGUUGUCUAGCUCCAGUGGAGGAGGCCUGCUUGGCCUAGAAAGCUGGCCCAAGCCCAUCGAAAAAUCAGGGGAAAGCAGCUGUUCCUGAAGUCUCCUCCCCUUUCCCGUAAGAUGUCUUGUGGUGACCCUCACAGAUAGUUACCCAUACUCAAGUUCCCUCAAUCUUCUGAUGGUUAUAGAGGAGCCAAAACCUAGGACUUAUAACAAAUGUCCAGACUGAGGAGUUUUGGUUCCUGAACAAAGUGCCUUUUCUUUGGGUCUCUGAUUCUAAAAAUACAUCACAGUUUUAAGGGCUGUAUUCCAUCCAGGGGAAAAGGGAAGCAAAAAGAAAAGACAGCCCUGGAUGAAAUGUGAGGGUAAAUGGUGAAGUCAUAGGCCUAAGGCCUGAGAUCUGGGUCCAAGUGCUGCCUCGCAGACACAUUGCCCUUCCCUCUUUACAGUUUCUCCAUGUUUGGCAGCAUGUGGUUUAGCCAAGCAGCCCAGGUUUGGCACCUGGACUCCUGGAUAGAAAAUUAAGGGUUCAUUACUCUCUAACUACACAUUUUGGCAUGGCAGGAGAAUAUACUUAGCUUUUGCAGAGUUUCGUCACCUCAGAUAAUGACGAUAAUGACACUCAAACGUAUGCUAUAUGAAAAAUUUGUGAGCUGUCUGGCAUUAAACAGGUAUUCAAUAAAAACCUAUGAUCUAC
Molecule: long non-coding RNA, 7662 nt
Filed under: Cricetulus griseus (Chinese hamster)
Lineage: Eukaryota; Metazoa; Chordata; Mammalia; Rodentia; Cricetidae
Description: lncRNA (ENSCGRG00015030295.1)
Source: RNAcentral